GCGAAAGUGGUGUAAGGCGAACAUCGCUGCCCGGAAAGCAGAAGAUGCGGGUUCGAGUCCCGCCUGCCGCA
Molecule: non-coding RNA, 71 nt
Organism: Heligmosomoides polygyrus
Lineage: Eukaryota; Metazoa; Nematoda; Chromadorea; Rhabditida; Heligmosomidae
Source: Rfam